Camelus dromedarius (Arabian camel) is the source of this 331-nucleotide long non-coding RNA. RefSeq lists it as uncharacterized. NCBI's taxonomy places the organism in Eukaryota, Metazoa, Chordata, Mammalia, Artiodactyla, Camelidae. The record is from RefSeq and is a predicted model, not a curated record. The transcript has 3 exons.
UGAGCUAAUGAGAUAGACAAGACAACCGAAAAUUUAUUAAAUAUCCUUUCAUGCCAGAAACAAAUGUAUUAUACACACAAAAAGCACAUAAAGCACGGUAGUACUGUGGUUACAAACAUGGGUCUGAGAUCGAGUCCUGCUCUGGAGUGACCAGUCCUGUGAGAUGGAGAACUGAGUUCUAUGUAUAGUUGGUUAUAUUCUAUACCUGGAAAUUUCUCCAAAACUGCUUCCCACGUGCCCUCACCUCCAGUGGCAUCCAUCCAGACACCAGCACUGACACUGGCCGUGCUCAGAUCUGCCUCAGCCCUGAAGACACAACUGACAAAUAGAA